This 434-nucleotide ribosomal RNA is filed under the name uncultured bacterium. RNAcentral describes it as "partial 16S ribosomal RNA". It matches the Rfam family "Bacterial small subunit ribosomal RNA", at positions 29 to 507 of the family's 1533-position model. The record is from RNAcentral.
AGCGAGCGCUGGCGGCAGGCCUAACACAUGCAAGUCGAACGAACCUUUCGGGGUUAGUGGCGGACGGGUGAGUAACACGUGGGAACGUGCCUUUAGGUUCGGAAUAACUCAGGGAAACUUAUGCUAAUACCGAAUGUGCCCUUCGGGGGAAAGAUUAAUCGCCUUUAGAGCGGCCCGCGUCUGAUUAGCUAGUUGGUUGAGGUAAUGGCUCACCAAGGCGACGAUCAGUAGCUGGUCUGAGAGGAUGAUCAGCCACAUUGGGACUGAGACACGGCCCAAACUCCUACGGGAGGCAGCAGUGGGGAAUCUUGCGCAAUGGGCGAAAGCCUGACGCAGCCAUGCCGCGUGAAUGAUGAAGGUCUUAGGAUUGUAAAAUUCUUUCACCGGGGACGAUAAUGACGGUACCCGGAGAAGAAGCCCCGGCUAACUUCGUG